GGGGAGAGAAACAAGUGUGAGGAGUCGGUCGGAAGAGGACGCGGAGGAGCCCGCCGCGUCUCUGAAGUUGCUGGCCCCCCUCGCGUGAAGAAACUAGUUCAAAAUUAGAUGUACUAUUAGAGACAUGAAGUCAGAAAACUUUGUCAAGACCAUGAAGACACUUUGAAUCCACAAAUCACAGAGGAGAAAGAAUAUGCCACCAAACUAGCACCUCAAAGAGCUUCUCUGUUUCCCUCAGAAAUUGAAUCUCUUGCAUAUAUUUCUUUAUUGCCAACUAAGCUAUACAUACAUAUAUACAUUUAUUUAUUGUUUAUUGCCUAUCAAUCUGAUAUCUAAAGAUGAGAAGCUUUAUCCAUUAGUAUUUUUUCCUCUCAAUGUAAGGUUUUGUAACAUGUAAUUUUGGAGUGUAACUUCCAGAAAAUCCCUAAAAUUUACCUGAAAAUUAAAUAUUUCAAUAUCACAUAACAGAACAAUUAUUAAAGCUAAUAAUUUUCUUGUUUUUUGAUAUCUUAAAAUGUAUAAUUGUAUAAUUUAUAAUGUAUAAUUUAAAUUUCUCUUUAUUCUUGCUUUUCCAUUAUGAAAUAAAGAGCAUAAAACAGUA
Molecule: non-coding RNA, 601 nt
Organism: Pantherophis guttatus
Lineage: Eukaryota; Metazoa; Chordata; Lepidosauria; Squamata; Colubridae
Source: RefSeq, a predicted model, not a curated record